GACGAACGCUGGCGGCGUGCUUAACACAUGCAAGUCGAACGAAGAGCGAUGGAAGCUUGCUUCUAUCAAUCUUAGGGGCGAAAGGGUGAGCAACGCGUAAUCAACCUGCCCUUUAGAGGGGGACAACAGUUGGAAACGACUGCUAAUACCGCAUACGAUCUAAUCACGGCAUCGAGGCUAGAUGAAAGCUGGCCUCUACAGGUAAGCUAUCACUGAAGUAGGGGAGUGCGUGUGAUCAGCGAGUUGGACGGGUAACGGCCCCCUAAGGCGAUGAUCAGUAGCCGGUCUGCGGGGAUGCACGGCCACAGUGGGACUGUGACCCGGCCCCGACUUCUCCGGGAGGCCGCCGUGGGGGAUCAUCCGCCAAGGACGAAAGUCUUGCGGAGCCACGCCGCGGGAGUGAUGGCAGCCUUCCGGUUGUUAAGCUCUGUUAAUCGGGACGAAAGGCCUUCUUGCGAACAGUUAGAAGGGUUGACGGUACCGGAAGGGAAAGCCACGGCUAACUACGUG
This 510-nucleotide ribosomal RNA is filed under the name uncultured bacterium. RNAcentral's name for it is "partial 16S ribosomal RNA". It matches the Rfam family "Bacterial small subunit ribosomal RNA", at positions 28 to 507 of the family's 1533-position model. The record is from RNAcentral.